UUCUAUACUCACAUACUAGAUCACAUUUGGCCUUUGGCAAUUCAGUAAACAUUUUAGCAAUUUCUUCUUUCCUGCCUGCUGAAGACUGACUUCCUCCUGCUGCCAAAGUUCUAGAGUCUGGACGUCUGAGAUCAGGGUGCCAGCACUGUCGAGGUCACAGACUGCAGACCUCCUUGUAUCUUCAAAUGGAGGAAAGAGGACAAGAGAGCUCCUGUGGUCCCUUUUAUCAAGAUGAAUGCACAAGGAAAAUGUUGUACAUUUGCACAUUGGAGUACACUUCAGCCAUAAAAAGAAUGAGAUGCUGUCAUUUGCAACAACAGUUGAAGCCUAGUCAAGAAGAGGGCUCAGAGAAGCUUGACUAAAGUUUCAUGAAGAGAGUCUCUGUCAGUGGUGGGUCUUUGAUUCUCAAGGAAGCUGUCAGAAGCUUCAUCUAACUUCUCUUCCACUCUACUUUCUUCUGGGGAAGAAGUGACCCAACAAUUUGAUCUAAUAUUUGCCUGAUAAUAUUGAACAUCCUUGCAUCCAUUAAAGUUUACUGUUCUAAGACUUACUUUAACCAAGGUCAACAGCAAUCUGAGACACACUCUUCUCAUGGCAGAUUAUGGGACCAUAAAGCAGGAGAAGAGAAAGGAAGCUGCAGUCCCUGUAUAACUCCUAAAUUUUUAAUUUGGAGUUCCUCUUCUUCGGUGCAACAAUCUUUCUGCAUGCACAGAUCCAUGUGGCACUCAUCUCAUCAUUCUGAGGGAAGAAAGAUGCAUAGGGAAUGUUGCAUGUGGUUAUUUCUAUAAGAAAACGUACCUUCAGAGGGGCUUACUCUCUUGUCC
RNAcentral lists this long non-coding RNA (824 nucleotides) under Homo sapiens (human). RNAcentral describes it as "HSALNT0142027". The record is from RNAcentral. Lineage: Eukaryota; Metazoa; Chordata; Mammalia; Primates; Hominidae.